UCGGAAUUUCCUCGGAAAUUCCUCGGUAUAUUCCGAGGAUUUCAUUUUCCGUCGGAAUGUCCGUCAGAAUAUCGCUGUUUUCUUGUAGUGUUGUAAACCAGCCCAUAUUCUUGACCCAAUCAAUUUGUCACAAGUAAAGACUUUCAAAUAGACUCCUCCACUUCCACCUUCAUCGUUAUCUUCGAAGAAACUCUGACGUUUUUCUACCUUCUGUUUUUCUGAUCGGUAACGGCAGUUUUGCACCAUUCUUUCUCAUUAAACCUAUUAACAUCCUAAUUUAAUCCUUCAAUCGUAAGUUAUUCCACCGUUCCAAAUCCCUCUGUUCUUAACCUUAUAUAAACCCAACGAAUCUCUGCUCCUCGCUAAAUUCAAGAAACCCAUCGAAGCACAUCAGGAAAUGGCGAUCAAAUCGACGAAACCCACCGGUUAGGCUCCAAUCGCUCUAUUUCGCCUGGCUUAACUAAAUCGGGGCUGCGUUUCCGUUUGAUUCAUUUCUGGGAAGCAAGAAACACAGCGAAAGGGGGCAUGCUUAGUGGGUUUAGAACUGCUUCUCAUCGAGGAGCAGGGAAAUGUUGUAGAAGCAAAUCAAGAGCAAGAUGACGAUGUCGGAGAGUCAAAGAAUGUUGUAUCACUGUGGUAGCGUCUUCAAUACUUCCGUUUCUAUUUGUGGCUUUUUCUGAUUUAGUUGUGCUGUUAGUUAAAUCACCCAUUCUCACUUUUAGUUCUUUUUGUUUUGUUUGGGUUCAAAAUAUAAGACCAAGUAGUUUAAAUCCAAAAAUCUAUGAUUCAUUAUGUGUUACAGUGCCUCUGUUGAUCUUUGGAACGUUUCGGCUGUGUUUUUGCUGAGAUUCUUACAGAAAGACCACUUCUUAAGGAAGAACAGAGAUUGAACAACUUCACAAAAUGUAUAAACUCUUUGGUUCACCAGAUAAAGAAUUCUGGGAAAAGAACAUGCUGCAUUCUCAAACUAAGAUGUUUAGACAACAAGAUAUGAACGUUGUCUGAGGAAAAAUUAUAAGGAGUGUCCGAUAACAUCAGCUGAUCUGUUGAUCCAGACAAACGAGGAACUUCCUCUUAUGCUCUCAUGUAAGAGGUA
Brassica napus (rape) is the source of this 1096-nucleotide long non-coding RNA. RefSeq lists it as uncharacterized. The record is from RefSeq and is a predicted model, not a curated record. NCBI's taxonomy places the organism in Eukaryota, Viridiplantae, Streptophyta, Magnoliopsida, Brassicales, Brassicaceae. The transcript has 3 exons.